CACAGCUCACGAGGCUCAGCUGUCCUCCAUCCUUCCCCCUGUCCUUUGGUGCCUCUGUUUGCAAGAUGUGCAGAAACACCAGAGGGCCAGAGGAGACCCUUUUACUGAAUGCUGGCAGCCUCCUGAGAACCAUGUCUGCCAGCAGUGGAGAGCAGAGAGUGUGGACGAGCAUGGGCGACUGAGGUCCCAAAUGGCGCGAGCCGCUGGGCCCUCCUGCUUGUGCCGAUGUCUCAGGCUCGAUUGAAGCUGGAAGAAACCAAGGACAAUGUGUCCUUUAAAAGUGUAAGGUCAGAAGGUGCCCUGACUCCAGCCGACCUGGAAAAGGACGUGUCCUGCCUAUCUGGAGGUGGCCCACACGGUCCGGGAAAGAUCGGCUGCCUUGCCUGCAUCCCAGGGCGCUUCCCGGCCUCCAUUAAGAGGUGACCAUUGCAUCCACGUGAUUUCUUUUGCUCCGAUAUUUCCAGGCACAGUACGACUGACUCCCUCUUGAAGCUAGAAUGCCCUGCACACCCGGGAUGGACUUCUCUCCCCUUUCAAAGAUCGAGUGACGUUUGCAAAUGUGAAAGGAAGGAAUUGCGUUUCCAGUGGAAACCUCUGAAGGGGAAUGAAACUGUCACAGGACGUCAGGAGCCACGUGGGGGAGCGUGGUGUCCUCUGGGUCUCAACGCCCCUUGCUUCCCGCUUGGUGACGGUCGAUGGCUGUGUCCGGCGGUGAACGCUUUACCACAGAACUCUACGGUGGGGUAGGCAGCGCCACUUCAGUGUGAAGACAAAUGAACUGGCGUCUCUUGAGAUAGGCCCCUGCCUCCAGGACCUCUCAGGCCCCGGGCCCUGGUUGCUGCGGUGGAAGCUGCCUGUUCAGACGUCAUCUCCAUCACCCCUUGAAGGGAGCCGGAGAGGUGUUUGCGAGUUGGAUGUUUUAUCUUGACUUGUCUUUCCUGAUUCUUUGUUAGAACACCCCCAGGGCUUGGUUUUUGUUCUCAACCUGUGAUUAGAAAUAAGAUCCUAAAGCGUCAGACCUGGAAGGCCCAUGAGAGCUGAGGAGAUCAAAUGCCUGGAGCUCGGGAGAUCAGAUGACCUGGGGUGCCUGGAGCCAGUGGUGGCCUCGUCUGCAGCUCCUUCCUCUGUCCCGCCCACCACAGAGUCCCUGCUGGCCCCGGGGGGCCCCUCCUCCGCCACAGGGCCCCUGAGCAUUGCUGGGUUUGUUUCUCCAGCUCCUCCUGCUUCCUGCAGAAGCAGUUCCCAGAGGGGCAAUUUCUCCAGCCUGCCUGGUUGGUUGUGUUGAUUGGUUAUAGUUGCUCUUUCAGGUGACCGCAGACCCUCUGAAGGCUGUGGCCGUGGGUGUGGCUCUAUGGCCACCUCUCUCUCUUCUCCUCUCCCAGGUCGCGUCUCCUUCUUCACCUCGGGGUCCGAGAACCUACACCGCGUGGAAAAGGUCCACUGGGGCACCCGUUACGCCAUCACCAUCGCCUUCAGCUGCAACCCCGACCAUGGCAUCGAGGACCCAGCGUUCCCGUAGCCGGCAGCUGGGCCAAGGUAACUUCAGGAGGGCCCGUGUGGAGGCAGCCGCACCAGUCGUGCGCCCGCCCCCACGUCCACCCGCUCCCGUUGCACAGAGUGCCUUAGGAAUUCUCUGAUUUUGAUUUGCUGACAUGUUAAUCUUUUCAUCCGUGAGUAAAUGAAGGGAACCAGCUUUUCACUUCUCCAGCAUCAUGUGUGCUUGGGCUGUAGGCCUGGGAGCCUGAGGUGGAGGCCAGCUCCUCCCUCAGGAAAGGGACCCAGCAGGACGGGGCACAAGUCCCCAUCUGUGAACGGACGGGACUCAUCCACCCAGGCCUCGUCGAGGUUCAGCAACCCCCCGGCCCAUCAAAGACUGGCUAAAGCAUCAGCCAUAAAUGGGGACAAACGUGGGGCCAGCAGCUUCUGUUCGGGGUCUCGGCAUCAGCAAACCGCAGCAGCUUUGGAGAAGGGUCCGUGAGUGGCGGCUCUGGAGGCAGCAACGGGGUCCUUUGGGGUGGGUGGGAGUUCUGCUGGAUUCAGGUGGAGGUGAACAUCUGCCGUUCCCACAGCCCUGCGUGCACCCCCAAUGCUGCUGGCCCACAAAUCACCGUGGGCCACGGCCCCACCACACCAGGCUUGGCCCUGUCAGCAGCCAGCAUCCCGAGGGCCAGGGUCCGAGUGUCCUCACCAAGGAGGCUCUUGGCGUCGCUGUGCCGGCUCCCAUGGGCCUUCUGCUGGGUUGAGGGUAGGUCGUCUCCUCCCCCUUUGCCCUGGCAUUAAACUGAUGGUCAGGCAUUAAACUGAUGGUCAGGCUGGGCGCGGUGGCUCACACCUGUAAUCUCAGCACUGCGGGAGGCCGAGGCAGGAGAAUCACUUGAGGUCAGGAGUUCAAGACCAGCCUGGCCAACAUGGCAAAACCCCGUCUCUACUAAAAAUACAAAAACAAAUUAGCCAGGCGUGGUGGCGCAAGCCUAUAAUCCCAGCUACUGGGGAGGCUGAGGCAGGAGAAUCGCUUGAACCCAGGGGGAAGAGGUUGCAGUGAGCCGAGAUCGUGCCACUACACUCCAGCCUGGGUGACAGAGUGAGACUCCAUCUUAAAAAUAUAAAAAUAAAGUGGUGGUCAGAGAAGCCCCAAAUAGACGAGCUGUGGAGAGGCCUGGGUGGGGUGGCUGGCAGGGAGGGCAGGCCAAGCCCAGUUUCUGCCCACAGUCACCUCGAGGUGACUGUCCAAGGCUUUGGGCACCUUCCCGGGAGGGGGACGGCUGCCCACCGAGUGGUGUUGAAGCCGGGCUCGCCUGGAUGCCCUGACCCAGCUGCCUGGGGAGAGCCCUGGGCCCCUCCUCCCUCAGCCCCUCCUGCCUCGGUCCCUCCUCUCUCAGCCUGUCUGGCAUAGAUCCAUGUUCCCCAGCCCCUGGCACAGGUGCCUCUGGCUGGAGGAGGCCCCACCUGUGGCCCAGGAGCUGCUCUGGGGGUUGAUAAAGAAAGGGCAGCGUUAUUGGGCCCUGGGAAUGAGCGGGCGUGAGGCCAGCUGAGGCAUGGUGACCCCUGGGAAGGAGCGGGCGUGAGGCCAGCUGAGGCACGGUGACCCCUGGGAAGGAGCGGGCGUGAGGCCAGCUGAGGCAUGGUGACCCCUGGGAAGGAGCGGGCGUGAGGCCAGCUGAGGCAUGGUGACCCCUGGGAAGGAGCGGGCGUGAGGCCACCUGAGGCAUGGUGACCCCUGGGUACGGGGGACUUGGGGGCCGCACCUCGGUUUGCCCAGGGCCCCUCCUGCACCACGGGCCACAUGCGGAGGACGGCGUGGGAUAGGCUCCCUGGGUCCACAGCUUCUGCCCGUGUAUGGGGAACCCUCCUUGGUCAGGGCUGCGGGCUCUGGGCAGAUGGGGCAGGAACCCUGAGGCUCCCGCGCCCUCCCAUGGCCUCUGACAUGGGACACUGGAGCGAGGCAUGAUUCUGAAGGACUCCAUGGAUCUGGGAGGAUGAGGCCCAUCUCCGGUUGGUGGCCAAAGCCGUCCUUGCGGGGCCGGCUGCUUCACGGACGCUCUCCGGGUCGGGCCGGUGGGCCCCAUCGUGGGUGGGAAGUCGCCUGAGCCUGGGCCUCCCUUGAGCUUCUCCCAGUCUUGACUUUCCGGAGGGUCCGUGGCUGUGGUCAUGGUCGGGGCAGGUGGAAAAUGCUGCAUGGAAACCUGAUCCUGUCACCUUGGAGUAAAUGAUGAUGUCGCCGGCUUCUCGCCACGUCUAAAGGAUAAAUGCAUUUGAAGAAAGUGGGUGUUGGGUUUGUUAUGGGUUAAAGUGCUUUUGAAAUAAGUAAAUUAUUAGUUUGAUUUUCA
RNAcentral lists this small RNA (3827 nucleotides) under Pan troglodytes (chimpanzee). RNAcentral's name for it is "retained intron". Lineage: Eukaryota; Metazoa; Chordata; Mammalia; Primates; Hominidae. The record is from RNAcentral.